This 68-nucleotide microRNA precursor is filed under the name Ciona intestinalis (vase tunicate). Its description in RNAcentral is "miRNA (ENSCING00000024759.1)". The record is from RNAcentral. Lineage: Eukaryota; Metazoa; Chordata; Ascidiacea; Phlebobranchia; Cionidae.
CAGCUCAUCUGGUAUAAAAACAUAAUGUAAUUACGACGUUUCGUUGUUUUUUUUAUACCAGAUCAGCC